GGGGGGGGGGGGGGGGGUGGGUGGGGCGGGCGGGGCGAGGGAAGAGGCGAGGGGCUUGCUCCUCUGACGUUAGCGGCGGACGGGGGCGUAACACGUGGAGAACCUACCUAUAAGACUGGGAUAACUUCGGGAAACCGGCGCGAAUACCGGAUAAUAUAUUGAACCGCAUGGUUCAAUAGUGAAAGACGGUUUUGCUGUCACUUAUAGAUGGAUCCGCGCCGCAUUAGCUAGUUGGUAAGGUAACGGCUUACCAAGGCAACGAUGCGUAGCCGACCUGAGAGGGUGAUCGGCCACACUGGAACUGAGACACGGUCCAGACUCCUACGGGAGGCAGCAGUAGGGAAUCUUCCGCAAUGGGCGAAAGCCUGACGGAGCAACGCCGCGUGAGUGAUGAAGGUCUUCGGAUCGUAAAACUCUGUUAUUAGGGAAGAACAAAUGUGUAAGUAACUAUGCACGUCUUGACGGUACCUAAUCAGAAAGCCACGGCUAACUACGUG
Molecule: ribosomal RNA, 497 nt
Filed under: uncultured bacterium
Lineage: Bacteria
Description: partial 16S ribosomal RNA
Rfam family: Bacterial small subunit ribosomal RNA
Source: RNAcentral